This 52-nucleotide transfer RNA is filed under the name Pseudomonas sp. GM24. RNAcentral describes it as "tRNA-Glu". The record is from RNAcentral. Lineage: Bacteria; Pseudomonadati; Pseudomonadota; Gammaproteobacteria; Pseudomonadales; Pseudomonadaceae.
GUCCCCUUCGUCUAGUGGCCUAGGACACCGCCCUUUCACGGCGGUAACAGGG